Molecule: microRNA precursor, 73 nt
Filed under: Calypte anna (Anna's hummingbird)
Lineage: Eukaryota; Metazoa; Chordata; Aves; Apodiformes; Trochilidae
Also listed under: 1 other name
Description: mir-192/215 microRNA precursor family
Rfam family: mir-192/215 microRNA precursor family
About the family: This family represents the human microRNA (miRNA) precursors mir-192 and mir-215. Animal miRNAs are transcribed as ~70nt precursors and subsequently processed by the Dicer enzyme to give a ~22nt product.
Source: Rfam by way of RNAcentral
CCAGGAAGAUGACCUAUGAAUUGACAGACUGCUUUCUAAUUUUGCCUGUCAUUUCUAUAGGCCAAUAUUCUGC